RNAcentral lists this long non-coding RNA (1179 nucleotides) under Monodelphis domestica (gray short-tailed opossum). Its description in RNAcentral is "lncRNA (ENSMODG00000038720.1)". The record is from RNAcentral. Lineage: Eukaryota; Metazoa; Chordata; Mammalia; Didelphimorphia; Didelphidae.
GUAAGAGCCUCUGAGAUGCUCUGCAAAUCCUGCCCUCCCAACUGUCUUCUCCUCCAUGCUCUUUUCUAACCCUCGCAUCCACCUCACAGGCACUUUGCCUACGUUAUGCAGUGCUCCAAUAGCUUAGGAGAUGGAUCCAGGAGAAGAACAUGAUUCCUUCAGCACCUGUAACUAUCCACGUUCUUCACCGUGAAUCAUAGGGACCCCUGUAUAAAAAAGAGGGAGAAGGUGCAGCUAGGUGCCUCAGUGUAUAGGGACCAAGCCCCCGAGUUCAGAGAACCUGGGUUCAAAUCCAGCCUCAGACACUCCUUAGCUGUAUAAGUAUGACCCUGGGCAAGUCACAGCCUCAACUGCCUAGCCCUCACCACUCUUCUGCCUCAGAACUGGUACUUAGGAAUAAUUUUAGGACAGAAGUAAUGCUGUUACUUAGGAUACAGAGUGGUUUGGUACCCUGCAUUCAUCUCUGAACAUCUUGGUGCUGUCCAUCAUCCUGGUGCUGAACUUUCAGCUAUGUUCAUCUUCCUCAUAGCCACUGGCUCUCAUGUAAGCAAUAUUCCUUCCCUCCAAACCCCCUAAGGACUAUGAUUCCUCUUCCUCCCUUUGCCUCCCUGUGAAAGUUGUGUGUGUGUGUGUGUGUGUGUGUGUGUGUGUGUGUGUGUGAGAGAGAGAGAGAGAGAGAGAGAGAGAGAGAGGGAGGGAGAGGGAGGGAGAGAGAGAGAGAUUGAUUGAGAGAGAGAUUGAUUGAGAGAAAGACAGACAGUCAGACAGAGAGCUCUGGUCCUGGUCCUGGUCUCUAUAGACUUUCCCAGUUUCCACCAUUUAUUGUUGUGUUUGGAGGGGACUUUCCAUGGGGUUGUCAAAAUUGCACAAUAUACUACAGUCUGCUGUUACUUGGCUCCCUUCCUUUGUUAGCUAUUCUACAUAGCUAAGGUGUUGUGCCAUAUGUCUCCAUGAUUCUGUGGAACAUAGACCCAGUCGUUGUGGAAAAGCUGAGGAAAGUUGGAUAAUUAGAGCUGACUGUGGUAAAACUCACAUAAUACUUCCCUCCAUUAGUAGCACUGGAUUUUGCAGCAUGUGGAAUACCAUGAUACAUCAUAUUUAAGCAGAAGACAAGGUCAAUAGGUUUAGUUAGUAUAGCUCACUUGUGCCUUUGCUGAUCUAGAGUGUGCCCAGAGUCUA